UGCCAAUUCCUCUGUUGGCAUGGUCCGC
Molecule: non-coding RNA, 28 nt
Filed under: Rattus norvegicus (Norway rat)
Lineage: Eukaryota; Metazoa; Chordata; Mammalia; Rodentia; Muridae
Source: RNAcentral